This 399-nucleotide ribosomal RNA is filed under the name uncultured bacterium. RNAcentral describes it as "bacterial SSU rRNA". It matches the Rfam family "Bacterial small subunit ribosomal RNA", at positions 8 to 411 of the family's 1533-position model. The record is from RNAcentral.
AGAGUUUGAUCCUGGCUCAGAAUGAACGUGGGCGGCGUGGAUUAGGCAUGCAAGUCGAACGGGCUGGUUUUCGGAUCAGGUCAGUGGCGCAAGGGUGGGUAAGGCGACGGCAACCAACCCCAUGGUUGGGCAUGGCCGCGGGAAACUGCGGGUAAUUCCCAGCGAAGUUCAGUUCGGGCAUCCGAGUUGAACCAAAGUUCCGACGCCGUGGGACGGGCCGUCGUGGUAUUAGGUAGUUGGCGGGGUAACGGCCCACCAAGCCUAUGAUGCCUACCGGGCGUGCGAGCGUGGCCCGGCACACUGGGACUGAGACACUGCCCAGACUCCUACGGGAGGCUGCAGUCGAGAAUCUUCGGCAAUGGGCGCAAGCCUGACCGAGCGACGCCGCGUGGAGGAUGA